Molecule: ribosomal RNA, 517 nt
Filed under: uncultured bacterium
Lineage: Bacteria
Description: bacterial SSU rRNA
Rfam family: Bacterial small subunit ribosomal RNA
Source: RNAcentral
CAGGACGAACGCUGGCGGCGUGCCUAACACAUGCAAGUCGAACGGGGAUUUGUUUCGGCAGAAUCCUAGUGGCGAACGGGUGAGUAACGCGUAGGCAACCUGCCCUCCGGCCGGGGGACAACACUCCGAAAGGGGUGCUAAUACCGGAUACGAAGUCUGUGCCGCAUGGUACGGAUUUGAAAGAUGGCCUCUAUUUAUAAGCUAGUCGCCGGGGGAUGGGCCUGCGUCCGAUUAGCUGGUUGGUGGGUAACGGCCUACCAAGGCGACGAUCGGUAGCCGGUCUGAGAGGAUGAACGGCCACAUUGGGACUGAGACACGGCCCAGACUCCUACGGGAGGCAGCAGUGGGGAAUCUUCCGCAAUGGGCGCAAGCCUGACGGAGCAACGCCGCCGUGAGUGAGGAAGUUCUUCGGAACGUAAAGCUCUGUUGUUCCUGACGAACCUCCCUUCUAUCAACAACGGAGGGGACUGACGGUAGGGAACGAGGAAGCCACGGCUAACUACGUGCCAGCCGCCGC